Molecule: ribosomal RNA, 253 nt
Filed under: uncultured bacterium
Lineage: Bacteria
Description: partial 16S ribosomal RNA
Rfam family: Bacterial small subunit ribosomal RNA
Source: RNAcentral
UACGUAGGGACCAAGCGUUGUUCGGAUUUACUGGGCGUAAAGGGCGCGUAGGCGGCGUGUUAAGUCACUUGUGAAAUCUCUAAGCUUAACUUAGAACGGUCAAGUGAUACUGAUGUGCUAGAGUGCAGAAGGGGCAACCGGAAUUCUCGGUGUAGCGGUGAAAUGCGUAGAUAUCGAGAGGAACACCUGCGGCGAAGGCGGGUAGCUGGGCCGACACUGACGCUGAGGCGCGAAAGCCAGGGGAGCGAACGGG